RNAcentral lists this ribosomal RNA (380 nucleotides) under uncultured cyanobacterium. RNAcentral's name for it is "bacterial SSU rRNA". It matches the Rfam family "Bacterial small subunit ribosomal RNA", at positions 376 to 770 of the family's 1533-position model. Lineage: Bacteria; Bacillati; Cyanobacteriota. The record is from RNAcentral.
CGAAAGCCUGACGGAGCAAUACCGCGUGAGGGAGGAAGGCUUUUGGGUUGUAAACCUCUUUUUUCAAGGAAGAACAAAAUGACGGUGCUUGAGGAAUAAGCCACGGCUAAUUCCGUGCCAGCAGCCGCGGUAAUACGGGAGUGGCAAGCGUUAUCCGGAAUUAUUGGGCGUAAAGCGUCCGCAGGCGGCCGAUCAAGUCUGCUGUUAAAGACAGAAGCUCAACUUCUGAAAGGCAGUGGAAACUGGAGAGCUAGAGUACGGUAGGGGUUGAGGGAAUUCCCAGUGUAGCGGUGAAAUGCGUAGAUAUUGGGAAGAACACCAGUGGCGAAGGCGCUCAACUGGGCCGUAACUGACACUCAGGGACGAAAGCUAGGGGAGCG